AUUGGGAUAGCCGAGUUGGUCUAAGGCGGCACAUUAAGGGUGUGUUUUGAAAGGGCGUGGGUUCGAAUCCCACUCUCAACA
Non-coding RNA from Triticum aestivum (bread wheat), 81 nucleotides. NCBI's taxonomy places the organism in Eukaryota, Viridiplantae, Streptophyta, Magnoliopsida, Poales, Poaceae. The record is from Rfam.